GACGAACGCUGGCGGCGUGCUUAACACAUGCAAGUCGAGCGGUAAGGCCCUUUCGGGGGUACACGAGCGGCGAACGGGUGAGUAACACGUGGGUGACCUGCCCUCAGCUCUCGGGAUAAGCCCGGGAAACUGGGUCUAAUACCGGAUAUGACUCCAUGACGCAUGUUGUGGGGUGGAAAGCCUUGUGCGGCUGAGGAUGGGCCCGCGGCCUAUCAGCUUGUUGGUGGGGUGAUGGCCACCAAGGCGACGACGGGUAGCCGGCCUGAGAGGGCGACCGGCCACACUGGGACUGAGAUACGGCCCAGACUCCUACGGGAGGCAGCAGUGGGGAAUCUUGCGCAAUGGGCGAAAGCCUGACGCAGCGACGCCGCGUGAGGGAUGAC
RNAcentral lists this ribosomal RNA (383 nucleotides) under uncultured bacterium. RNAcentral's name for it is "bacterial SSU rRNA". It matches the Rfam family "Bacterial small subunit ribosomal RNA", at positions 28 to 412 of the family's 1533-position model. The record is from RNAcentral.